RNAcentral lists this unclassified non-coding RNA (331 nucleotides) under soil metagenome. Its description in RNAcentral is "partial contains 5.8S ribosomal RNA, internal transcribed spacer 2, and large subunit ribosomal RNA". The stretch from base 1 to 120 matches the Rfam family "5.8S ribosomal RNA", at positions 35 to 154 of the family's 154-position model. The record is from RNAcentral.
GAUGAAGAACGUAGCGAAAUGCGAUAAGUAAUGUGAAUUGCAGAAUUCAGUGAAUCAUCGAAUCUUUGAACGCACAUUGCGCCCCCUGGUAUUCCGGGGGGCAUGCCUGUUCGAGCGUCAUUUCACCACUCAAGCCUCGCUUGGUAUUGGGCAACGCGGUCCGCCGCGUGCCUCAAAUCGACCGGCUGGGUCUUCUGUCCCCUAAGCGUUGUGGAAACUAUUCGCUAAAGGGUGUUCGGGAGGCUACGCCGUAAAACAACCCCAUUUCUACGGUUGACCUCAGAUCAGGUAGGAAUACCCGCUGAACUUAAGCAUAUCAAUAAGCGGAGGA